CACUAGGGAUGUAAAUGGUUAACAAGUAAGCAUCAUCCUUACUGGCACUCCCCUGCAGCCCUUACCCCGUUCUUUCUCCUCCCCAACCCAGCUUCUGAAGGCAGGCUUGAUUAGAUCUAGCUCUGUCUGAGGCAGCAAUGUAUUCCUCUGCUGCAGUGACUGCUCCCCACCACUGGGCAUGCUACCGGCCCUGCCCUGUGGCAUCAGUGAGCAAAGCACUGAGCAGGUGAGAGAUAAUAUGGGUGGGGCAUGACAAUGAUCAAAACAGCCUCAGUGCUUAGUUUCUAGUCUCUCCCUUUGAAUUUACUGCGCCUAAGAUUGAAAUUUGAUUGGACCCGGUUGGAACUUGUAACCAAACGGUUAAUUUUUGUGUGUGACUUGAAACAGGACUGAUCAGCAGGCAGGGAAGCCGGUGCAACAGCUGGGUUUGAGCUCUCACGCUGCUCCAAAGUGUGGCUUGCUUUCCCCUUGGGUGCUCUGUAGCCCGGUGCCUGGCCUCGUGCUCCAUGAGCAAGACCAACUGGCCCAUUACCUAGCUGUCCCUGGCUUCCUCUGCCUCCUGCUCUUGGGUUUGAUUGGCUCCCUUCCUUUUCAGGGGCAGGGCGUCAGGAAGGAGGUGCUGCAAGAGUGCCAACAUGUGAGCACAUUGCCUUGGCACCAGCCUGCCCCUUGCUGCACAGGCCUGUCUGCGGGACUGAUGGAAACACCUAUAGCAACGAGUGCCUGCUCUGUAUCAUGCGAAGGUAGAAGGUGAGUGCCCUGCAGACAUCCAGGGUAUGAAAAGCCACUCCCUUGUCCUCAUGUUGACGUGCUGUGCUACCUGGCUUCAGGAAGAAGAUGGGUCUUCUGGAAUUUGUGGGGAUGAGCUGCACUGAGUUCGGGAAGGUCUUUUCCCUGGUGUUCUGGAGGGACACGCCUGGAGGUGUAACUUGUGGAUGGCUGGAUGGGAAAAUCUGACCAUUUCGCUGCAUGAGGAGAGAUGAGACUGGCAGGUACAACGGUGGCCAGAGUAACCUUCUUGAAGCGUUGGUAUCUAACAAAAUGGUUGCACCUGCAGAGGUCCAAAAAAUGGGUCUCCAGCAGCCCGACUUCUUGGUGGUACCUGAAUGCCUGAGUCUUGAGUAUGGCCCUGGAAUCCUUCACGUUAUGCAGAGAAGUGUUUGUGGACUCAGGAAAGAGCUUUGUACCUUGAACAGGAGGUCUUCUACAACGGACUGGACCUCUCAGAAAGCCCAAAAGCUGAAGCCAAGAUGCUCACCUCAUUACCACAGCUGAGGCCAGGGAUCUGGCUGCUGUGUCCGCUGAGUCCAACGUGGCCUGUAGGGCUGUACAGGAUAUUAGUAUGCCCUCCUUAAUGUUUGAUUUAAACUCUUCUCUUUUCUUGUCUGGGAGGGACAGAAUGCAAGAUGUUAGUUGACUGAAAAUAUGAUGUGUAUAUUUUGCUAGUAAAACAACGUAGUUGGCUUCUGA
This is a non-coding RNA of Pelodiscus sinensis (Chinese soft-shelled turtle), 1470 nucleotides long. The record is from RefSeq and is a predicted model, not a curated record. NCBI's taxonomy places the organism in Eukaryota, Metazoa, Chordata, Testudines, Trionychidae.